UACGUAGGGUGCGAGCGUUAAUCGGAAUUACUGGGCGUAAAGCGUGCGUAGGUGGUUUGUUAAGUCUGCUGUGAAAGCCCUGGGCUCAACCUGGGAAUGGCGGUGGAUACUGACAAGCUAGAGUGCGGUAGAGGAGGGUGGAAUUCCCGGUGUAGCGGUGAAAUGCGUAGAGAUCGGGAGGAACAUCAGUGGCGAAGGCGGCCCUCUGGACCAGCACUGACGCUGAGGCACGAAAGCGUGGGGAGCAAACAGG
This 253-nucleotide ribosomal RNA is filed under the name uncultured bacterium. RNAcentral's name for it is "partial 16S ribosomal RNA". It matches the Rfam family "Bacterial small subunit ribosomal RNA", at positions 524 to 776 of the family's 1533-position model. The record is from RNAcentral.